UCCGAUACCGAUACGGGAGGGGAGGUGCGACCGUGGGAGACUUCGCCCCUGACCUAGAGCCGUGCCACUGCCUCCAGAUCGGGAGCGCAGCCGCUGCUCGUUGCCCCCGGCGUCGCUGCUCUUCUCCCCCGCCCCGGCGCCACCGCUCUUCUACCCCGCCCUCAGCGCUGCCGCUCGUCACGCGGUCUCCUGGGGCGCCCCUCAUCGCAACUCGCCCAAGAGGCCAGGAGGAAGGAGCCCAUGAUCCCCACCGAGCCACUGGAGCAGACACGACGCUACCUUUCCUCCAUGACUCCGUCCAAUAGUCCAUCGACGGACCAGUUUUAGCAGUUGCUGCCGGUCGCCGUCUUCACCCUCAACUCCUCAUGUCCCCGUUGGAAGCUACCUUCAGUGGGAUGAGCUUCAUCGUCUGUUCAACAUGAACGGAUGAAGCAAAGAGAAAUUGAUGUACUGGCACAGUUACAACAUUUGAAGCUUGUCACAAUAUUUUGGAGCUCGUCUAUUAUUUAUGACAUUUAUGCUAAUUUGCAUUUAAGAUUGUUAAAUUGGUAGCUCACAUUUCAAGAUUAUGUGCUUGCUAUGUGCCCAAAUUUGAAUUGCAUCACUAGCUUAUAUAGCAGCCUAGAAGCAUUCUUUUUGUUUCCAGUCAAAUAGAAGCUGACAGUGAUUAAUUAUGUAUUUGUGUGAUCAUGUAUUUCCUCGCUGCAUUUGUAACCCAAUAAUAAACCCUGGAUGACGGUCAUGUAUUAAUCAUGUAUUUGUGUUAGGUCAUGAUACGUGAUACGAAUUAUUUUCGUUGUGACA
Oryza brachyantha (malo sina) is the source of this 804-nucleotide long non-coding RNA. RefSeq lists it as uncharacterized. Lineage: Eukaryota; Viridiplantae; Streptophyta; Magnoliopsida; Poales; Poaceae. The transcript is spliced from 2 exons. The record is from RefSeq and is a predicted model, not a curated record.